CGCGUGCACUGGUUCGGCCGGGCCUUUCCCUCUGGGGAGCCGCAUGCCCUUCACUGGGUGUGUCGGGGAACCAGGACUUUUACUUUGAACAAAUUAGAUCGCUUAAAGAAGGCCUAUGCUCGAAUACAUUAGCAUGGAAUAAUAGAAUAGGACGCGUGGUUCUAUUUUGUUGGUUUCUAGGACCGCCGUAACGAUUAAUAGGGACAGUCGGGGGCAUCAGUAUUCAAUUGUCAGAGGUGAAAUUCUUGGAUUUAUUGAAGACUAACUACUGCGAAAGCAUUUGCCAAGGAUGUUUUCAUUAAUCAGGAACGAAAGUUAGGGGAUCGAAGACGAUCAGAUACCGUCGUAGUCUUAACCAUAAACUAUGCCGACUAGGGAUCGGACGAUGUUAUAUUUUGACUCGUUCGGCACCUUACACGAAAGUAAAGUUUCUGGGUUCUGGGGGGAGUAUGGUCGCAAGGCUGAAACUUAAAGAAAUUGACGGAAGGGCACCACCAGGGGUGGAGCCUGCGGCUUAAUUUGACUCAACACGGGGAAACUCAUCAGGUCCAGACACAAGUAGGAUUGACAGAUUGAGAGCUCUUUCUUGAUUUUGUGGGUGGUGGUGCAUGGCCGUUCUUAGUUGGUGGAGUGAUUUGUCUGCUUAAUUGCGAUAACGAACGAGACCUUAACCUGCUAAAUAGCCCGCAUUGCUUUGGCAGUGCGCCGGCUUCUUAGAGGGACUAUCGG
This 729-nucleotide ribosomal RNA is filed under the name uncultured eukaryote. RNAcentral's name for it is "SSU rRNA". It matches the Rfam family "Eukaryotic small subunit ribosomal RNA", at positions 671 to 1426 of the family's 1831-position model. The record is from RNAcentral.